AGCAGCCGCGGUAAUUCCAGCUCCAAUAGCGUAUAUUAAAGUUGUUGCAGUUAAAAAGCUCGUAGUUGAACUUCGGGGUUUACCCAUUGGUCAGGCUUAAUUGUCUGUACUGGUGAGAUGAAUCUCUACCUUCUGAGGAACUUUCAUGCCAUUUAUUUGGUGUGAUGGGAAAUCAGGACUGUUACUUUGAAAAAAUUAGAGUGUUUAAAGCAGGCUAACGUCUGAAUACAUUAGCAUGGAAUAAUGAAAUAGGACGGACUGAUUCUAUUUCGUUGGUUUCUAGGAUCACCGUAAUGAUUAAUAGGGAUAGUUGGGGGCAUUAGUAUUCAAUUGUCAGAGGUGAAAUUCUUGGAUUUAUUGAAGACUAACUACUGCGAAAGCAUUUGCCAAGGAUGUUUUCAUUAAUCAAGAACGAAAGUUAGGGGAUCGAAGACGAUCAGAUACCGUCGUAGUCUUAACCAUAAACUAUGCCGACUAGGGAUCGGACGAAGUUAAUUUAUAAUGACGCGUUCGGCACCUU
This 520-nucleotide ribosomal RNA is filed under the name uncultured Diversispora. RNAcentral's name for it is "SSU rRNA". It matches the Rfam family "Eukaryotic small subunit ribosomal RNA", at positions 569 to 1089 of the family's 1831-position model. Lineage: Eukaryota; Fungi; Glomeromycota; Glomeromycetes; Diversisporales; Diversisporaceae. The record is from RNAcentral.